CAAUAGCGUAUAUUAAAGUUGUUGCAGUUAAAAAGCUCGUAGUUGGAUUUCUGCUGAGGACGAUUGGUCCGCCCACUGGGUGAGUAUCUGGCUCGGCCUUGGCAUCUUCUUGGAGAACGUUGCUGCACUUGACUGUGUGGCGCGGUAUCCAGGACUUUUACUUUGAGGAAAUUAGAGUGUUUCAAGCAGGCGCACGCCUUGAAUACAUUAGCAUGGAAUAAUGAGAUAGGACCUUGGUUCUAUUUUGUUGGUUUCUAGAGCUGAGGUAAUGAUUAAUAGGGAUAGUUGGGGGCAUUCGUAUUUAACUGUCAGAGGUGAAAUUCUUGGAUUUGUUAAAGACGGACUACUGCGCAAGCAUUUGCCAAGGAUGUUUUCAUUGA
RNAcentral lists this ribosomal RNA (380 nucleotides) under uncultured eukaryote. Its description in RNAcentral is "partial 18S ribosomal RNA". It matches the Rfam family "Eukaryotic small subunit ribosomal RNA", at positions 592 to 976 of the family's 1831-position model. The record is from RNAcentral.